GUCCAUAAGGGUAAGUAUUACCCUUAUGGACAUCAAGUAGCAUGUAUCA
RNAcentral lists this non-coding RNA (49 nucleotides) under unclassified sequences. RNAcentral describes it as "ssNA-helicase RNA". It matches the Rfam family "ssNA-helicase RNA". Rfam says of the family: Firmicutes, Actinobacteria (1 example). The record is from Rfam by way of RNAcentral.